CCACAGACCGAUAGCGAACAANGUANNCNCGUGAGGGAAAGUUNGAAAAGAACUUUGAAGAGAGAGUUCAAGAGUACGUGAANNACCGUNCGGGGAGUAAACGGGUGGUACCCGAAAUUUCGAAAGGGGAGAUUCAAGUCUCGCCGGCGUCGGGCGGUGGCCGCGACCAGGGAUGGUGUCUCCGCGGUCGGGGGGUAACCCUCGGCCCGUNGGGCCCACCCCCGGGAUCCCCGGCCGGGUGCCCGACGG
RNAcentral lists this ribosomal RNA (249 nucleotides) under Ecchlorolestes peringueyi. RNAcentral's name for it is "partial large subunit ribosomal RNA". The record is from RNAcentral. Lineage: Eukaryota; Metazoa; Arthropoda; Insecta; Odonata; Synlestidae.